AAGCAGCCCCUGGGGCUGGUCAGCAGGAUGAGAACAAAGCAGCAGCGUGUAAACGGGCGGGCGGAGCUGCCCCUGGGAGUAGGCAGAAAGGCAGUGAGUGGGAGGGCAGCUAACAGAAGUAACCUGCGCUGAGCACUCGAGGUGUGGGGGAGGGACUCGACUCCUCUGUCAGUGGAAGGCAGAUACAUGGGAGCCGUGCCAGCUGCCAGUACAGGACAACAUCCAUCGUCUACAUGUGGUGGGGGAGGCUGGGUCAGACGCCCCGUUUCAGACGAAUGAGAUCUGGAGAAGCAAGGCUGCACUGCAUCCGAAACAAACCCAGAGGUGCUGAUUUAAAAGGAGAGACCCAGUGCUGUAACCUGCCCACUCCUCCCCCUGAGCCUCCUGGGCUGACCCUGGGGCAGAUCCACAUGGGGGCCUUAGCCUUGCCCUCCCUCAGAGCCGUAGCCAGAAACUGUCCCUGUGCUGGGGGGGACAGGGCAAAAGGACUGCUACUGGAUCCGGCUCUUCUGAAUGGAGCAUGUGGGGGGUUCUCCCUGACCUCCACCGGCCAUGAGCUGUGAACUACCCAAUCUGCAUCCCACACCACUGCUGAUGGAACCAGUUACUCAGUCCAGUGACGGUGAAUGGCCCUGCUCUAACAUGAGAAUUCCCGCCACUGUUUUUGGGAUCUAUGCCAAUUUUCACUUGUCUACUCAGGUAUUUAUACUUCGCUCAUUCCUGUGGUGUCUGAGCACUGAGGGUGAAAUCCUGGCUCCAGUGAAGUGAAUGGCAAAACUCUCAUUAAGUUCAGUAUGUCCAGAAAUUCAUCUUUUACUUCCCUCUAUCCAACUCUCCUCUUCAUGGCCAAGGUGAACCAUGUUUCUGGUUCAGUAUCCUUUUCAUAACAAGUGAAAAUUAGAUGUUGUAUUCAGUAUAUACACGGUGUGACUUUUCUUAGUGUUUUCCUACUAAGCUCACACGACGUGUGGCUAGCAGAAGCUAUGCCGGCUGCCUCUGCUGGCAUACUGGAAGGUGAGCAGGGAUCAGAGGAAAGGGUUCCCUACCUUGCUGUCAUGCCUGCAGAUCUUGUAAAGAGCACAGGGCUUAAGGAAGGACAACCACAGACAUUGCAAGAUGCAAGAGGGCUGCAUUAAUGCAUCAUAAAUCGCACAGUUCAGGGGGCAGAAUUACUGUUGAUCCUGCAACCCUAACUUGAGCAUUUCCUGAGAACUGAGUGCUUCACUGGAUAACCUUAACAUUCACCCAGUGUCGCAUUUUGUGCAGAACAUUCUAAUGGUAAUGGUGGCAUUUGUAACAGACUUUAAUCGAGUGAAGAGGGGAAAAGAUGGCAAUUAAGGCUUACGUUAGCUCUAGCUUUUUUAACAGAAGACCUCAUAGUUCAAAG
This 1387-nucleotide long non-coding RNA is filed under the name Chrysemys picta bellii (western painted turtle). RNAcentral describes it as "lncRNA (ENSCPBG00000015251.1)". The record is from RNAcentral. Lineage: Eukaryota; Metazoa; Chordata; Testudines; Emydidae.